Molecule: ribosomal RNA, 717 nt
Filed under: uncultured fungus
Lineage: Eukaryota; Fungi
Description: SSU rRNA
Rfam family: Eukaryotic small subunit ribosomal RNA
Source: RNAcentral
UAGGAUAGAGGCCUACCAUGGUGGUAACGGGUAACGGGGUGUUAGGGCACGACACCGGAGAGGGAGCCUGAGAAACGGCUACCACAUCCAAGGAUGGCAGCAGGCGCGCAAAUUACCCAAUCCCGACACGGGGAGGUAGUGACAAUAAAUAACAAUACGGGGCUCUUUCGGAUCUCGUAAUUGGAAUGAGUACAAUUUAAAUCUCUUAACGAGGAACAAUUGGAGGGCAAGUCUGGUGCCAGCAGCCGCGGUAAUUCCAGCUCCAAUAGCGUAUAUUAAAGUUGUUGCAGUUAAAAAGCUCGUAGUUGAAUUUCGGGGUUAGUAGGUUGGUCAUGCCUCUGGUAUGUACUGGUCUCACUGAUUCCUCCUUCCUUAUGAACCGUAAUGCCAUUAAUUUGGUGUUGCGGGGAAUUUGGACUGUUACUUUGAAAAAAUUAGAGUGUUUAAAGCAAGCUAACGCUUGAAUACAUUAGCAUGGAAUAAUGAAAUAGGACGUUCGAUCUUAUUUUGUUGGUUUCUAGGAUUGACGUAAUGAUUAAUAGGGAUAGUUGGGGGCAUUAGUAUUCAAUUGUCAGAGGUGAAAUUCUUGGAUUUAUUGAAGACUAACUACUGCGAAAGCAUUUGCCAAGGAUGUUUUCAUUAAUCAAGAACGAAAGUUAGGGGAUCGAAGACGAUCAGAUACCGUCGUAGUCUUAACCAUAAACUAUGCCGACUAGG